CUCGAUGACGCUGUAGCUCUCCACGUAAUCGACGUGUUCGUCCUGCGGCUCGCUGGCGAUCUGCCGCAGCGUGGCCUUGUCCACGCUGCCCACUCCGAUGGCGAACAGCUCGACGCCGCUGGCCCGGGCCCGCGCAGACACGUCCUGCACGCUGUCCUGGGGCCUCCCGUCUGUCACCACGAUGACCACCUGCGACACGCGGGGCGGUGUGACACCGGGCUCCCGGAAGCCCACGGGACUGUCCAGGAGAGGAGGCUGAGGCCCGGAGAGGCGGGAGGACUGCCGGGUCGCACAGCCAGGCGGCACCCGGGGGAAGAGGACCCGGCUGGCCGAAGAGGAGACCCGUUUCCUCUGACUGAGAGACGUGGCUGGGGGGCUUUCCAUCUGCUUCGCCUCCCUCGGGCAGGCAGCUCUGAGAUGCCCGGAGGGAUGUGAUGCCCCAUCGCCAAAUUGGGGUCUCUAAGGUCAGGGCCAUGCCUUCCCCUCAGACUGAGGCGGCUGAGGGCAGGGUCCUCAGGCUGAUGGCUGUGGGAGUCGUGCCACGCCCCUCGUGCCCCCGGGAGGCCCGGCCGGGGCUGGGUGGGGGGAUCCGGUGGUUCCACAUGGUGCAGUUCUGCGCUUUGGCCACCAGAUGGCAGCCGAAGCUAAGGGAUGGGGCUGCCGUCUCCCGUCUUGCUGUCCUUGUCCCGGUAAGACCGGGGACCCUGGACCAGGGAACCGACGGAGGGCCACUCCCAUGUGGAUGCCCAAGGGACCAACCCAAGAAAGAUGCCGCCCUUAUCCUCCUCCACUCCCCGCUAUGAAAUGGCCACCUCACGGGGCAUCAUGGGAAUCAAAGUGUCUGCAGGCAAAGCUCAUAACUCCGAGCGGGAGCCUCCAAACAGCAGCAUCCUAGCAGGGUGGCGUGCACGUACCUUGCUGAUGUCAGGGGACCUGGAACGACCACCCUCUGCAUCGCCGAAGGCUUUGGUGAUAGCGAACUGGAUGGCCAGGCCGGUCAUGGUGCCUGUGGACAGCGGCUGGAUACGGCGCACAGCCUGCAGCAGUGCGGCCUUGGAGACAUGAGCCCGCAGCGAGAACUCCUGCUUCACGGUGCUGGCAUAGUUGACCAUGCCCACCCGGGUGGCAUUGGGCCCCACGUCCAGCGACUCGAUGACCUGGGACAGGAAUACCUUCACUUUCUCAAAUUCAACAGGCCGAACGCUGCGAGAGCUGUCGACAACAAACACCAGGGUCACACAAGGGCCAUCCACGGUGACCAGCGGUGAGAAACGCAAUGCUGUCCUCGUGCCAUGCUGGAGGUGAACGAGGAGAACGUGAGCUGGGGUCUCCUCACCAACUGCUCCCCCCACCCCAACCCCCCUGACGGCCAGGGCUGUGUCCAGGGCUCAGGGCACAAGGCUCCGUUAGCUGGGCAGCAGCUGGCCCAUGAAACAGCCCUUUCAGCUCCACCUCUGAAUGGCAGUUCUAUGGGCUCCUCGGAAGAACACAGGCGCCUUCUCUGUGUCACUUCUCCGCUCAUUAGCAGAGCUGCAGAAAUACACUACAGGACUCAAAAUUGAGAACAGUGUGUCCGGUAUGAGCCAGAAGGAAAAAAAAAUGCACGAAGGGGCCUUCUGCAAGGUUGCUCACAAGUCAAACAGGCAGCUGUGAAGGGCUCUGCUGUUCCCUCCUCCUGUUUUCACAUCCCUCGGGCUUCCAGAAACUUAAAGCCGUUAGUGUUUCAUGCAAGAGAGAGCAUCUGUGAUCCACGGAGAGGCCCCUGGGCAGUGUGGUUCAGUGGGAAGCACACAGGACUCCCUCCCCAGUGCUCCCAGGAUCAGCUCUUUCCCUAAAGAGCAAACCUGGUUAUCUCGCAAUGACCUAGCUAACACAAAUGCAACAUCAGCCGGGGCAGCCUGCCCCCUUCACUCUUUGCCCACCAUCAGCUGUUUGGCAGUAUCCAUAUACGCCUUUACCAGUAUUUAUUUAAUCUUUUUGUUUAAUUCACUCUAAACCAACUCACUUCUUAAAAAUUUCUCUGCCUUAUAAGAAAUAAUAGCCAUGAAAUCACUGGUUUGAUGUACGGUUUAUUUAUUUAUUCCAAUAAACACUCAUUCAAUAUAAAAUUCAAAUAAAUUCAAAACUAAUUAAA
This 2134-nucleotide long non-coding RNA is filed under the name Homo sapiens (human). Its description in RNAcentral is "HSALNT0291128". The record is from RNAcentral. Lineage: Eukaryota; Metazoa; Chordata; Mammalia; Primates; Hominidae.